UGUUUUGGUGUUUAAAACAUAUAUUUAAUUUUUAAAAAUGGUAUAAAAUAAGAAAUUCACUCCCAAUGUUGAUUUGGUGUAAUAAAUCUAGUCACCUUGAGAAGGCUACUAUGUUAAACAAAUAUAUUAAGUGGCUAAGUAAUAUGUAUAUGAAUAUGUCUUUUAAUUCAAAGACAUGCAUUUGGAGUGUUCCAACCCAUCCUAUAAUGUUUGAAGCAAACAUAGCUCUUU
RNAcentral lists this long non-coding RNA (231 nucleotides) under Lathyrus oleraceus (garden pea). Its description in RNAcentral is "Pisum sativum (pea) long non-coding RNA (PSAT_LNC040334)". The record is from RNAcentral. Lineage: Eukaryota; Viridiplantae; Streptophyta; Magnoliopsida; Fabales; Fabaceae.